CUCCAGCCAUGCCGCGUGAGUGAUGAAGGCCCUAGGGUUGUAAAGCUCUUUCAACGGUGAAGAUAAUGACGGUAACCGUAGAAGAAGCCCCGGCUAACUUCGUGCCAGCAGCCGCGGUAAUACGAAGGGGGCUAGCGUUGUUCGGAAUUACUGGGCGUAAAGCGCACGUAGGCGGAUACUUAAGUCAGGGGUGAAAUCCCGGGGCUCAACCCCGGAACUGCCUUUGAUACUGGGUAUCUCGAGUCCGGAAGAGGUGAGUGGAAUUCCGAGUGUAGAGGUGAAAUUCGUAGAUAUUCGGAGGAACACCAGUGGCGAAGGCGGCUCACUGGUCCGGUACUGACGCUGAGGUGCGAAASGUGGGGAGCAAACAGGAUUAGAUACCCUGGUAGUCCACGCCGUAAACGAUGGAAGCUAGCCGUUGGCAGGUUUACCUGUCGGUGGCGCASUAACGCAUUAAGCUUCCCGCCUGGGGAGUACGGUCGCAAGAUUAAAACUCAAAGGAAUUGACGGGGGCCCGCACAAGCGUGGGAGCAUGUGGUUUAAUUCGAAGCAACGCSSAGAACCUUACCA
RNAcentral lists this ribosomal RNA (570 nucleotides) under uncultured bacterium. RNAcentral's name for it is "bacterial SSU rRNA". It matches the Rfam family "Bacterial small subunit ribosomal RNA", at positions 386 to 976 of the family's 1533-position model. The record is from RNAcentral.